ACGUACACUCCUGCGGGAGGCAGCAGUGGGGAAUUUUGGACAAUGGGCGAAAGCCUGAUCCAGCCAUGCCGCGUGCAGGAUGAAGGCCUUCGGGUUGUAAACUGCUUUUGUACGGAACGAAACGGCCUUUUCUAAUAAAGAGGGCUAAUGACGGUACCGUAAGAAUAAGCACCGGCUAAAUACGUGCCAGCAGCCGCGGUAAUACGUAGGGUGCAAGCGUUAAUCGGAAUUACUGGGCGUAAAGCGUGCGCAGGCGGUUAUGUAAGACAGUUGUGAAAUCCCCGGGCUCAACCUGGGAACUGCAUCUGUGACUGCAUAGCUAGAGUACGGUAGAGGGGGAUGGAAUUCCGCGUGUAGCAGUGAAAUGCGUAGAUAUGCGGAGGAACACCGAUGGCGAAGGCAAUCCCCUGGACCUGUACUGACGCUCAUGCACGAAAGCGUGGGGAGCAAACAGGAUUAGAAACCCCGGUAGUCC
RNAcentral lists this ribosomal RNA (475 nucleotides) under uncultured organism. RNAcentral's name for it is "partial 16S ribosomal RNA". It matches the Rfam family "Bacterial small subunit ribosomal RNA", at positions 329 to 796 of the family's 1533-position model. The record is from RNAcentral.